RNAcentral lists this ribosomal RNA (253 nucleotides) under uncultured bacterium. Its description in RNAcentral is "partial 16S ribosomal RNA". It matches the Rfam family "Bacterial small subunit ribosomal RNA", at positions 524 to 776 of the family's 1533-position model. The record is from RNAcentral.
UACGAAGGGGGCUAGCGUUGCUCGGAAUCACUGGGCGUAAAGGGUGCGUAGGCGGGUCUUUAAGUCAGGGGUGAAAUCCUGGAGCUCAACUCCAGAACUGCCUUUGAUACUGAAGAUCUUGAGUUCGGGAGAGGUGAGUGGAACUGCGAGUGUAGAGGUGAAAUUCGUAGAUAUUGGGAAGAACACCGGUGGCGAAGGCGGCUCACUGGACCGAGACUGACGCUGAGGCGCGAAAGCGUGGGGAGCAAACAGG